AGUGAACGCUGGCGGUAGGCCUAACACAUGCAAGUCGAACGGCAGCACAGGAGGGCUUGCUCUCUGGGUGGCGAGUGGCGGACGGGUGAGGAAUACAUCGGAAUCUACUCUGUCGUGGGGGAUAACGUAGGGAAACUUACGCUAAUACCGCAUACGACCUACGGGUGAAAGCAGGGGACCUUCGGGCCUUGCGCGAUUGAAUGAGCCGAUGUCGGAGUAGCUAGUUGGCGGGGUAAAGGCCCACCAAGGCGACGAUCCGUAGCUGGUCUGAGAGGAGGAUCAGCCACACUGGAACUGAGACACGGUCCAGACUCCUACGGGAGGCAGCAGUGGGGAAUAUUGGACAAUGGGCGCAAGCCUGAUCCAGCCAUACCGCGUGGGUGAAGAAGGCCUUCGGGUUGUAAAGCCCUUUUGUUGGGAAAGAAACCCAGCUGGCUAAUACCCGGUUGGGAUGACGGUACCCAAAGAAUAAGCACCGGCUAACUUCGUGCCAGCCGCCGCAGUAA
RNAcentral lists this ribosomal RNA (506 nucleotides) under uncultured bacterium. RNAcentral describes it as "partial 16S ribosomal RNA". It matches the Rfam family "Bacterial small subunit ribosomal RNA", at positions 29 to 523 of the family's 1533-position model. The record is from RNAcentral.